Molecule: ribosomal RNA, 467 nt
Filed under: uncultured bacterium
Lineage: Bacteria
Description: partial 16S ribosomal RNA
Rfam family: Bacterial small subunit ribosomal RNA
Source: RNAcentral
GACGAACGCUGGCGGCGUGCUUAACACAUGCAAGUCGAACGGAAAGGCCCUGCUUUUGUGGGGCGCUCGAGUGGCGAACGGGUGAGUAACACGUGAGUAACCUGCCCUUGACUUUGGGAUAACUUCAGGAAACUGGGGCUAAUACCGGAUAGGAGCUCCUGCUGCAUGGUGGGGGUUGGAAAGUUUCGGCGGUUGGGGAUGGACUCGCGGCUUAUCAGCUUGUUGGUGGGGUAGUGGCUUACCAAGGCUUUGACGGGUAGCCGGCCUGAGAGGGUGACCGGCCACAUUGGGACUGAGAUACGGCCCAGACUCCUACGGGAGGCAACAGUGGGGAAUAUUGCACAAUGGGCGGAAGCCUGAUGCAGCAACGCCGCGUGCGGGAUGACGGCCUUCGGGUUGUAAACCGCUUUCGCCUGUGACGAAGCGUGAGUGACGGUAAUGGGUAAAGAAGCACCGGCUAACUACGU